CCUACGGGUGGCAGCAGUGGGGAAUAUUGCGCAAUGGGCGAAAGCCUGACGCAGCGACGCCGCGUGAGGGAUGAAGGUCUUCGGAUCGUAAACCUCUGUCAGCAGGGAAGAACGGUCACUGUGCUAAUCAGCAGUGAAUUGACGGUACCUGCAAAGGAAGCACCGGCUAACUCCGAGCCAGCAGCCGCGGUAAUAAGGAGGGUGCGAGCGUUAAUAGGAAUUACUGGGCGUAAAGCGCCCGUAGGCGGUAUGUCAAGUCAAGGGUGAAAUCCCCGCGCUCAACGUGGGAACUGCCUUUGAAACUGGCAAACUGGAGUGUGUGAGAGGAUAGUGGAAUUCAAGGUGUAGGAGUGAAAUCCGUAGAUAUCUGGAGGAACAUCAGUGGCGAAGGCGACUAUCUGGCACAUAACUGACGCUGAUGCUCGAAAGCGCGGGUAUCGAACAGGAUUAGAUACCCGGGUAGUC
RNAcentral lists this ribosomal RNA (465 nucleotides) under uncultured bacterium. RNAcentral describes it as "partial 16S ribosomal RNA". It matches the Rfam family "Bacterial small subunit ribosomal RNA", at positions 338 to 795 of the family's 1533-position model. The record is from RNAcentral.